Molecule: ribosomal RNA, 345 nt
Filed under: Triticum aestivum (bread wheat)
Lineage: Eukaryota; Viridiplantae; Streptophyta; Magnoliopsida; Poales; Poaceae
Description: partial small subunit ribosomal RNA
Source: RNAcentral
AUGCACGACAAUGGCUGUACAGAGAUUUUCCGGAACACUUUAGAUGGGAUGCAUCAAAGAAGAGAUGGUAUAAAAGAAAACAAAGGCCACAGAUUGGUAGAAUUGUGUAUGCACACCCUGCUGAGGAGGAGAGGUACUAUUUUGCGGGUGCUCUUAAAUCAUGUCCGAGGUGCGACAUCAUAUGAUGAUUUGAAAAAGGUGCGAGGCAUUACGUGCUCUACUUUCAGAGAGGGGUGUGAACAAUUAGGAUUAAUUGAGCACGACAAAUCACUUGAUCACUGCCUGACUGAAGCUGCCACAUUUCAGAUGCCUUGUGCUCUUAGACGCUUGUUUGCCAUAUCUUAG